GUGCAGGGGGCAGAUAAGACACAUCUGAGAUGCCUGAGGCUUGGCUGGGGGAGUUUCCUAGACCAGUGAGGACGCUGUGUGACUGAGUCUACUGCGGCUGCGCAGGUCCCAGAUUCUUCACCCACUGUCCCCGGCUGCUGCACCCCUGCACCUCCACGUCUGCCCCCUGCCCGGGGCCAGGGCCCAGCAGUCAUGACAGACACCCCAGUGGAGGAAUCCCUCUUCCAAAUCAUCCACUGCUUCCACCAGUAUGCAGCCCGGCAAGGCGAUGUGGAGACCCUGUCCCUGCAGGAGUUGCAGGCCCUGCUUGUGGACAACGUGCCCCGCUUCAUGGACAGCUUGGGCCGGAAGGAGCCGUACUAUAUCACAGAACUGUUCCAGGCUGCAGACAAGAACAAGGACAACCAGAUCUGCUUCGAUGAGUUCCACUACAUCUUGGGAAAGCUGGUGAAGGACUACCACCUGCAGUACCACCGGCAGCUGUGCGCUCACCACUGUGCUCAACACAGCCUCUACUAGAGGGAGCUCAGGCAGCCUCCUGCCCACCGGAGCCUGACCCAGGAGGAGGUGUGGCCUGCCUAUCAGGAACUGAAUGGAGAACCCAGCUGUGUGUGUCUCUGUGUGUGUGCACGUAUCUGUACAUGUCCGUGAAAAGGAGAGCAGUGUGAGAGAGAAUAAAGCAAUUUCAUACAUAUUUCCA
Molecule: long non-coding RNA, 700 nt
Filed under: Piliocolobus tephrosceles (Ugandan red Colobus)
Lineage: Eukaryota; Metazoa; Chordata; Mammalia; Primates; Cercopithecidae
Description: lncRNA (ENSPTEG00000036470.1)
Source: RNAcentral